RNAcentral lists this ribosomal RNA (439 nucleotides) under uncultured bacterium. RNAcentral describes it as "partial 16S ribosomal RNA". It matches the Rfam family "Bacterial small subunit ribosomal RNA", at positions 339 to 795 of the family's 1533-position model. The record is from RNAcentral.
CUACGGGAUGCUCCAGUGAGGAAUAUUGCACAAUGGGGGGAACCCUGAUGCAGCAACGCCGCGUGGAGGAUGACGCAUUUCGGUGUGUAAACUCCUUUUAUAUGUCAAGAAAAUGACGGUAGCAUAUGAAUAAGCACCGGCUAACUCCGUGCCAGCAGCCGCGGUAAUACGGAGGGUGCAUGCGUUACUCGGAAUCACUGGGCGUAAAGGAUGCGUAGGCGGGUUGGAAAGUCAGGUGUGAAAUCCUACAGCUUAACUGUAGAACUGCACUUGAAACUUCUAAUCUAGAGUAUGGGAGGGGGAGAUGGAAUUAGUGGUGUAGGGGUAAAAUCCGUAGAUAUCACUAGGAAUACCUAAAGCGAAGGCGAUCUCCUGGAACAUUACUGACGCUAAGGCGUGAAAGCGUGGGGAGCAAACAGGAUUAGAUACCCUAGUAGUC